Molecule: long non-coding RNA, 247 nt
Filed under: Elaeis guineensis (African oil palm)
Lineage: Eukaryota; Viridiplantae; Streptophyta; Magnoliopsida; Arecales; Arecaceae
Description: long non-coding RNA (EGUI_LNC004102)
Source: RNAcentral
GGGGCCAAACGGCGAUGAUCCCAAAGGAAAUGAUCGGGGUGGGCCAAAGAAAGUGAUCCAAUCGCAAUGGGGCUGGAGAGAGGAUCCGAUUGGCAUGGGGUCGGAGAUAGGGAAUCUGACAAGGGUAGGGCCGGAUGGGGGGUGAUCCAAUAAGGAGACAUCGAGUGAUCGGAGGAGAAAAAGGUACGAGGACUGUCGGUGAAAUAGUGAACAAGAGGAGACUAUGCGGUGGAGGUUCUUGAGGUUG